Long non-coding RNA from Brienomyrus brachyistius, 786 nucleotides. RefSeq lists it as uncharacterized. NCBI's taxonomy places the organism in Eukaryota, Metazoa, Chordata, Actinopteri, Osteoglossiformes, Mormyridae. The record is from RefSeq and is a predicted model, not a curated record. The transcript has 3 exons.
CGUUCCCUAAACGGACCUGUCAGUACAGUCAUAAAGGAGCAACAUGUGUGCGAUGACAGGAAUGAAGGAGGCGUCGGACUCCCCACCUCCACAUCCUUACGGGCAUCUCUCCAGUUUCUGUAGCCUGCAGUUUUACUGCGGAGCUGCACUAGGAAGGCGCACUGCCAAAAGCAACAAGCACAGAUAUGAUCACCAAACAAGAUAAGAUAAAGUGUUUUGUUGCAUCCUGCAGCACCUAUUAUGAAACCGUUUGAAGGAGUUACAGGAUGAUCCAAGAAGACAAUGUAGAGAAGAAUGAGAAGGGAGCGAUCAUCCCUCGCAUGAGGCAAAGGAGGAGAAGAGCAAGUCAAAACCGUAACGCUUUCCUCUUCUCUGUUUGUUCUGUGUCCUGCGAGCUGAGGAGGAGGCUUCCAUAUGGAAGAGCACAGCAUUAGACAUGGUGUCUGAAGGGCAGGGUGCCGUCUUGGAUGGGUGGGCAGUGUGGGUUGUCUGGCCACCUGUAAGACAGAAUCGUCUGCACUGUGUCCGGUGCCACAGAACAGGUGUGAUCCAGACCAAAAAUGUAUGUUGUGACUCCCCAUGCAGAAGCAUGGUUUGUUCUUGUGAAUGUGUAGCAAUUCGUUUAUCCUUUAUGUUCCAUAAAAGCAUUUCUGUCCUGUUCUAUAAUAUCAUCUCUUCCAAUACAUUCUGUUCUGUUAUAUUAUACGUUGCAUUGAUUAGUUUGCCUCAUCAUAUACAUUGUACUGUUUUUCAUGUGCUUAUAAUAAAGGUAUUUGUAUCCAUCCA